AUGCCGUGUAGAAGCUGAAGCUGCACCUCCUGCAUGGCCCCUUUGGCCAGCUGGGCCCCUCAGAUGAGAGCUGCGCCCAGGCCAGCACCAGCCACUCAGUGACCAGCAGCGGCACCCCCCUCUGCAGUUGGCUCUCCUGCUGCUGUGCCCUGGCAGCCAGGUCUGCUGUCCCAGAUGGCAACCACUGCAGCUGGCGUGGCUGUGGGCUCUGCUGUGGGGCACACACUGGGCCACACCAUUACUGGGGGCUUCAGUGUUAGAAGUGAUCCCGAGCCUGCGAGGCCUGACAUCACUUACCAGGAGCCUCAGGGAACCCAGCCGGCACAGCAGCAGCAGCCUUGCUUCCCAGAACCAGGGUGACAUCAAGCUCUGUGAGAGUUUCAGUGAGGUGCUGAAACAAUGCCAACUUGCAAUAACUGGAGAAAUGGAAAACCAGCUCUCAUAACCAAGUUAACUUAAUAUAAAAAUUUAAUUAAUAGUGAAGGUAUAAAGUGUAAUCAUCAGUUAAACCUCUCCUGUCAUUCCUAGCUUCCUUGCCUCUGAAUUGAAAUGGAAGGGGGUGUUCCUACUCUGUAGAAUUUGGAGCUGGUCAAAUGUUUGUGUGGCCUCCUUAAACUCGCUGUUAUGAUUUUAUUCUUUGUGAGUUAAUUAGAAUAAAGUGAUUUUCUUCCAAAUAAAUAAAUAAAUAAAUCAAGUAACAAAAAUUAGCCAGGUGAGGUGGCAUGCACCUGUACUCCCAGCUACUCGGGAGGCUGAGGCAGGAGAAUCACUUGAACCCAGGAAGCGAUGGUUGCAGUGGGCUGAGAUGGCACCACUGCACUCCAACCUGGGCAACAAAGCCAGACUCAGUCUCAAGAAAAAAAACACACACACACACACAAAAACCCCAAACCCUGUAUCCUUUCACUAUUACCUCCAUGCUCCUUCCCAGCCUCUCAGCAACCUCAAGUUUACUUUCUGUCUCCAUGGAUUUGCCUAUCCUAGACAUUUCCUAUGAAUGGCAUCAUAUAAUAUGUGGUCUUUUGUACUUGGCUUCUUUUUUCUUGCUGUCACCCAGGCUGGAGUGCAGUGGCGUCAUCACACCUCAAGCGAUCCUCCCACCUCAGCCUCCUGGGUAGCGGGGCCUACAGGGGUGUAUUGGCAUGUCCAGCUAAUGUGUGUAUUUUUUUUGUAGAGAUGGGAUUUUACUGGGUUGUCCUGGCUGGUCUUAACUGCUGCACUCGAGUGACUGCUGGGAUUACAGGCACCCGCCACCACGCCCAGCUAAUUUUUUAUAUUUUUAGUAGAGAUGGGGUUUCACCAUGUUGGCCAGGCUGCUCUUGAACUCCUGGCCUCAAAUGAUCCAUCUGCCUCAGGUUCCCAAAGUGCUGUGAUUACAAGAGUGAGCCACCGCACCUGGCCCAGAUUUUUAAUCUUUUUUUCCUGUUUUUGAGACUGUAUAUAAUUUCCAUGAAUCUGUCCUCAAGUUUGCUAUCUCCUGCCUUUUGAAAUCUGAGGCUCUCUAGCAAAUUUAUUUGUUUCUGCAUUUUUUUUUUUUUUUUUUUUUUUUUUUGUGAGACGGAGUCUGGCUCUGUCACCAGGCUGGAGUAUAGUAGCACAACCUUGGCUCACUGCAACCUCCACCUCCUGGGUUCAAGUGAUUCUCCUGCCUCAGCCUCUCUAGGCCUUUAGCUGUGCUUGCCUUGUGUUUUCUUUACUCCUAUUUGUUCUUUUUUUUGUUUUUUUUGAGACAAUUUCGCUCCUGCUGCCCAACCUGGAGUGCAAAGAUACGAUCUCGGCUCACUAUAACCUCCACCUCACAGUUUCAAGCGAUUCUCCUGACUCAGCCUCCUAAGUAGCUGGGAUUACAGGUACGUACCACCACGCCUGGGUAACUUUUUGUAUUUUUUAGUAGAAAGGGGGUUUCACCAUGUUAACCAGGUUGGUCUCAAACUCCUGACCUCAGGUGAUCCACUCACCUCGGGCUCCCAAAGUGCUGGGAUUGAUUACAGGUAUGAAUCACUGUGCCCAGCCUCGAGCUGACUCAAAGAAAAAAUAGGGCCAGGUGCAAUGGAUGACCAGGCACCGUGGCUUAUGCCUGUAAUCCCAGCACUUUGGGAGGCCGAGGCGGGUGGAUCAUCUGAGAUCAGGAGUUCAACACCAGCAUGGCCAACAUGGUGAAACCCUGUCUCUACUAAAAAUACAAAAAUUAGCUGGAUGUGGUGGCACCUGUAAUCGCAGCUACUCAGGAGGCUGAGGCACGACAGUAUCUUGAACCUCUGAGGCAGAGGAUGCAGUGAGCUAUCAUGCCACUCUGCACUCCAGCCUGGACGACAGCGCAAGAUUCACUCUCAAAAAAAGAAUCAGCUGGAGUUGCUCAGUGUCAUGCUCAGUGCAUGUUCUUUUGCGUAAUGACUUUUGGGAUGCCUUGACUGCAGCAGGAACCAACAUCCUGGCAUCAUCAGUUGUGCUAGCUGCGUUUCUCCAACUGUGAGCCUCUGCGGGAGGGAACCAGUUCAUCCCACACACAAUGCUGAACUCAGGGCCAGGUACUCUAAAUGUGCUGAAUCUUAAGGACGAGCUUUCCAGAGUCAGGAGGCUAGAAGAUGAAGACCAUCAUUCUCAUUUUCAAAACAUCACAUGAGCAGAAAGGGUCAUGCUGAUGAACUGAAACUUUCCCUGUUCAAGCUGCCCUCCCUUGGCACAUGACAGAAAAAAGUAACAACAGGACUCAAUACCAUCCCUUCAGAGGAAGCCUUUAUUGUAACAUAAAAUACACAAUUUUGUGACUGCCCCAAAUUGUACACAAUACUUUUUUUUGGUGGCUAAAUAACUAAUCUGCCUUGACACUAAAAUAUGUAUCUGAAAUAAUUUCACAAAGUUUUAAAAAGAAAAAUUAUAAAAAGUAUACUUUCAUUUGAUUUUAGUCUCCCGCUACCCCCUACAAAACCCUGCACAUAGCACACACGGAGCUGAAACAUUUGAGGACUUGCGUGUGUCUGGGAGUGGAUGGAGGCUGAUGGGGUCGAGACACACCACUACCUUUCCUUGUGGUCUGCAGGAGCAGGGAGAAGAGAGAAGAUAGAACGCAGAGAGCGAACACACCUUUUGUCAAAAAUCUCCCCUCCCUAGGCACAGCCUCGGUAACACCGAGGACAGCUCACAGCUGGAGGAGCAGGGGAACCCCACGCUCAGUGAAGCCACACUCAUCGGCUGUCUUCCUCCCAGACCCAGUGCUAACUGCAAAGUGAGCUCCAAGCAGCCCGGGACUGCCUGGCUACUCUGUCCUCAGCAGGCCCUGGGCUGGGUCCACUCCCAACCUGAAAGUGUAUCAAGUCCGACCCUCCCAGGGUUGCUGGAACAGAGUGGGAGGUCUCAGAGGCAGGUGCCGGUGAAGAAUCUAUGGGUGGUGGGCAGGGAGGGGCUCUCUGAGCCUGGGUUCCUGAGCAGUCAGGCUCUCCUUCUCGCCUUCCCUGAUGCACCCAACCUCACGGUGGGAAUUUUCAAAUCCUGAGGGGGAGGGAGGGGCUGAGUGGGAUAGGGGUUGCCUGCUCCUCAGAGGCAGUGAGACUCUACUGCCUGGCGUAGAAAAAUAAAUCAGUGUAUGAAACCAAGCCAAGGCAAACGGCAGCUUUAAAAAAGUCAUCUUCCAAUAAAUAAUUUACUAUAGAGGAAUAUUUUUCUUUAACAGCAAAACACUGGUAAGUUCAGAAGUUAUUUUUGUAAAAAAAAUAUGUUUAUUUACUCUCAUGUAUAAAAAUAAGGUUUUGGGGGCCAUCCUCUCCUGGGGGUGGUCAUGCCCUUCUUUUGGAGAGGGGGCCGAGGGUGACCUAUUAGGCCUUACCCGUAAGCUAUUUUAAUACACCUGCUCACCCCCUUCGUCCCCCACUGCCUGCCGUAGCCCAUUCCUUCCUUCUGGUGUAAAGCUACAGAAGAAAUUGUGGAACAAAAUUAUACUGAUGCUUUUUGUUUUGUUUUGUUUCAUUUUUAUACUUAAUCAAACUCCCCAGCAAACCUGGUGACUGCAUUUCCCCACAUCACCAACACCUGGCACCCAGGACCCCACGCGGGGUGACCCGCUGAGCAAGCUGGCCUAGGUUCAGCCCACACUGCUGCCACCUACUCUUCAGUAUGUCAUGUAUGAACAGAAAAGGGAAAUGAGGUGACCUGGGUUCGGAUGACCCAGGGCCCAAUGCAGAAGAAUUCUGAUGUCAAAUUAGGGUGGGAAGGGGAAAACAAAAUAGAAACAGAAACAUGAUUCAACAUUUGCAAAAA
Molecule: non-coding RNA, 4254 nt
Organism: Callithrix jacchus (white-tufted-ear marmoset)
Lineage: Eukaryota; Metazoa; Chordata; Mammalia; Primates; Cebidae
Source: RefSeq, a predicted model, not a curated record